RNAcentral lists this ribosomal RNA (253 nucleotides) under uncultured bacterium. RNAcentral's name for it is "partial 16S ribosomal RNA". It matches the Rfam family "Bacterial small subunit ribosomal RNA", at positions 524 to 776 of the family's 1533-position model. The record is from RNAcentral.
UACGGAGGGUGCAAGCGUUAUCCGGAUUCACUGGGUUUAAAGGGUGCGUAGGUGGAUCAAUAAGUCAGUGGUGAAAGCCCCGAGCUCAACUUGGGAAUUGCCAUUGAUACUGUAGAUCUUGAGUGCGGUUGAGGUAGGCGGAAUGUUACAUGUAGCGGUGAAAUGCUUAGAUAUGUAACAGAACACCAAUUGAGAAGGCAGUUUACCAAGCCGAUACUGACACUGAGGCACGAAAGCGUGGGGAUCAAACAGG